This 259-nucleotide ribosomal RNA is filed under the name uncultured bacterium. RNAcentral describes it as "partial 16S ribosomal RNA". It matches the Rfam family "Bacterial small subunit ribosomal RNA", at positions 75 to 334 of the family's 1533-position model. The record is from RNAcentral.
CGGCUCCGGCCGUGAAUAGAGUGGCGAACGGGUGAGUAACACGUGACCAACCUGCCCCCUACCCCGGGAUAACGCAAGGAAACCUGCGCUAAUACCGGAUACUCCUUCCCCUGCUCCUGCAGGGGUCGGGAAAGCCCAGACGGUAGGGGAUGGGGUCGCGGCCCAUUAGGUAGACGGCGGGGCAACGGCCCACCGUGCCUGCGAUGGGUAGCCGGGUUGAGAGACCGACCGGCCACAUUGGGACUGAGAUACGGCCCAG